Molecule: ribosomal RNA, 170 nt
Filed under: uncultured bacterium
Lineage: Bacteria
Description: partial 16S ribosomal RNA
Rfam family: Bacterial small subunit ribosomal RNA
Source: RNAcentral
AAGCUGGAUUCGCUAGUAAUCGCGCAUCAGCCACGGCGCGGUGAAUACGUUCCCGGGCCUUGUACACACCGCCCGUCAAGCCAUGAAAGCCGGGGGUACCUGAAGUGCGUAACCGCAAGGAGCGCCCUAGGGUAAAACUGGUGAUUGGGGCUAAGUCGUAACAAGGUAAC